RNAcentral lists this ribosomal RNA (497 nucleotides) under uncultured bacterium. RNAcentral's name for it is "partial 16S ribosomal RNA". It matches the Rfam family "Bacterial small subunit ribosomal RNA", at positions 28 to 507 of the family's 1533-position model. The record is from RNAcentral.
GAUGAACGCUGGCGGCGUGCCUAAUACAUGCAAGUCGAGCGAACAGACGAGGAGCUUGCUCCUCUGACGUUAGCGGCGGACGGGUGAGUAACACGUGGAUAACCUACCUAUAAGACUGGGAUAACUUCGGGAAACCGGAGCUAAUACCGGAUAAUAUAUUGAACCGCAUGGUGCAAUAGUGAAAGACGGUUUUGCUGUCACUUAUAGAUGGAUCCGCGCCGCAUUAGCUAGUUGGUAAGGUAACGGCUUACCAAGGCAACGAUGCGUAGCCGACCUGAGAGGGUGAUCGGCCACACUGGAACUGAGACACGGUCCAGACUCCUACGGGAGGCAGCAGUGGGGAAUCUUCCGCAAUGGGCGAAAGCUUGACGGAGCAACGCCGCGUGAGUGAUGAAGGUCUUCGGAUCGUAAAACUCUGUUAUUAGGGAAGAACAAAUGUGUAAGUAACUAUGCACGUCUUGACGGUACCUAAUCAGAAAGCUACGGCUAACUACGUG